RNAcentral lists this unclassified non-coding RNA (2221 nucleotides) under Hevea brasiliensis (rubber tree). The record is from RNAcentral. Lineage: Eukaryota; Viridiplantae; Streptophyta; Magnoliopsida; Malpighiales; Euphorbiaceae.
GGAGAAAGGAAGGCACUUGUAGAUAGAGAUCUUGAUAAUGGUUGGUUAAUGGGGCAGCGUCAGUUUCUUGAUCUCGACAGCCUUGCAUUUCAGCAAGGUGGUUUGUUGAUGGCAAAUAAGAAAUGUGAGCUUCCAGUGGGGUCUUACAGGAAUCAUAAGAAGGGCUACGAGGAAGUUCACGUGCCAGCAUUGAAGCCAAGGCCACUAGAUCCUGGUGAAGAGCUUGUGAAGAUAUCCUCCAUUCCCGAGUGGGCUCAACCAGCAUUCAGUGGGAUGACCCAAUUGAACAGGGUGCAGAGUAAAGUAUAUGAGACUGCCCUCUUUUCUCCGGAGAACAUUUUGCUCUGUGCUCCAACUGGUGCCGGGAAGACCAAUGUAGCUAUGCUCACUAUACUUCAGCAAAUUGCACUAAACCGCAAUGAAGAUGAUGGUACAUUCAACCACAACAACUAUAAGAUUGUAUAUGUGGCACCCAUGAAAGCCCUUGUUGCAGAAGUGGUUGGCAAUCUCUCCAAGCGUUUGGAACAUUAUGGUGUCACAGUGAAAGAGUUGAGUGGUGAUCAAACAUUAACUCGUCAACAGAUUGAAGAGACUCAAAUUAUUGUGACUACCCCAGAAAAGUGGGAUAUUAUCACCAGAAAGUCGGGCGAUCGCACAUAUACACAGCUUGUGAAACUUCUUAUUGUUGAUGAGAUUCAUCUGCUGCAUGACAAUAGAGGUCCUGUCUUGGAGAGUAUCAUCGCUAGAACUAUUCGACAGAUCGAAACCACCAAAGAGCAUAUUCGUCUUGUUGGAUUGUCAGCAACUCUUCCAAAUUAUGAGGACGUGGCUGUAUUUUUGCGAGUGGAUCUGAAGAAAGGACUCUUCCAUUUUGACAAUAGCUAUAGGCCUGUUCCGUUGGCUCAGCAGUAUAUUGGAAUUACAGUUAAGAAGCCACUGCAGAGAUUCCAGUUGAUGAAUGAUGUUUGCUAUGAGAAGGUGAUUAGUAUUGCAGGAAAGCAUCAGGUGCUUAUUUUUGUCCAUUCAAGGAAGGAAACAUCUAAAACAGCUCGUGCGAUACGGGAUACUGCACUUGCUAAUGACACCCUUGGUAAGUUUUUGAAGGAGGACAGUUUAACUCGGGAACUUUUACAGUCGCAAACUGAGCUUGUGAAGAGCAAUGAUCUCAAAGAUCUUUUACCAUAUGGUUUUGCUAUUCAUCAUGCGGGGAUGGUUAGAACAGAUCGGCAACUUGUGGAGGAUCUUUUUGCUGAUGGCCAUGUGCAAGUGUUGGUUUCAACAGCCACUUUAGCAUGGGGUGUCAAUUUACCUGCACAUACUGUGAUUAUAAAAGGUACCCAGAUUUACAAUCCUGAGAAAGGAGCAUGGACUGAACUCAGUCCUCUUGAUGUUAUGCAAAUGCUUGGUCGUGCUGGACGUCCUCAAUAUGACACCUAUGGUGAAGGGAUCAUAUUAACGGGCCACAGCGAAUUGCAAUAUUAUUUGUCCCUGAUGAAUCAGCAGCUGCCAAUAGAAAGUCAAUUUAUCUCCAAGUUGGCAGAUCAGUUAAAUGCCGAGAUUGUCCUCGGGACUGUGUUGAAUGCCAAGGAAGCAUGUAAAUGGCUCCUGUAUACGUACCUCUAUGUCCGCAUGGUACGGAAUCCCACACUUUAUGGUCUACCUGCUGAUGCUCUAAAGACCGACUAUGCUUUGGAGGAAAGGCGUGCUGACUUGGUACAUUCUGCUGCUGUAUUGCUGGACAAGAAUAACUUGGUCAAGUAUGACAGAAAAAGUGGAUAUUUCCAGGUGACUGACCUGGGUCGCAUUGCGAGUUAUUAUUAUAUAACUCAUGGGACAAUUUCCACAUACAAUGAGCAUUUGAAGCCUACGAUGGGUGACAUUGAACUUUGCAGACUUUUCUCUCUUAGUGAGGAAUUCAAAUAUGUUACAGUCAGACAAGAUGAGAAAAUGGAAUUGGCGAAGCUUCUAGAUCGUGUUCCUAUCCCAAUAAAAGAGAGUCUUGAGGAACCCAGUGCCAAGAUCAAUGUACUAUUGCAGGCAUAUAUUUCACGGCUGAAGCUUGAAGGGUUGUCCCUGUCAUCCGACAUGGUUUAUAUCACUCAGAGUGCUGCACGUCUGAUGCGAGCCCUUUUUGAGAUUGUUCUGAAAAGGGGAUGGGCUCAGUUAGCUGAGAAGGCCUUAAAAUGGUGCAAAAUGAUAAGCAAGAGGAUGUGGAGUGUAC